GGGGUUGUAGUCUAGCUUGGUAUGAUGCCAGCCUCGGGCGCUGGAGAUCGCCGGUUCAAAUCCGGCCAACCCCA
Molecule: transfer RNA, 74 nt
Filed under: Nitrososphaeraceae archaeon
Lineage: Archaea; Thermoproteati; Nitrososphaerota; Nitrososphaeria; Nitrososphaerales; Nitrososphaeraceae
Description: tRNA-Pro
Rfam family: tRNA
About the family: Transfer RNA (tRNA) molecules are approximately 80 nucleotides in length. Their secondary structure includes four short double-helical elements and three loops (D, anti-codon, and T loops).
Source: RNAcentral